CGGGACGCGCAUCCCGUGCGACCGGGACGCGUGUCCGGGCCGUUCCCGUUUGCAACGCUCCUCGGUACUUUGGAACGCUUGGGGUGGGCUUUGGGCGGAUGCCCCGCUGGGGUGGUAGGGAGGGGGGGCUGCUGCUGCCGCGGCGGGCCUUCCGCUCCACUCCGCACAAGCCCGCCGCGCGCACUCGCGGCAGUUAGAUGUAUGCCCUAGAAGCCAAUUUGGCUGACACAUUGUUGAUUCUAGGGACAUAAUUUUGU
This 257-nucleotide long non-coding RNA is filed under the name Phoenix dactylifera (date palm). Its description in RNAcentral is "long non-coding RNA (PDAC_LNC006490)". Lineage: Eukaryota; Viridiplantae; Streptophyta; Magnoliopsida; Arecales; Arecaceae. The record is from RNAcentral.